UUGGGCUCCAUUCUUCAUUCACUCUCUCUUUCUUCUCUUCGUUUCCAACAUUCCUUUCGCCUCUCUUAUAUAAAAAUCUCUCUUUGACACUCUUCUCUAUGCUUUUUCUCAUUUGCUUUCUUUGACUUGUAAAGGGUUUUUUUUUUUGGGUUUUCAUCUCAUCAAAUCAAGGAUACAGCUUCCCAUUUCGCCAUUUGGGUCUUUGUUUUUCCUCAGGAUUGUUGCUAGGGAUGUAGGUGAUGAAUCCGUGCAUAUCUACCAGCGACAACAAUGUAGCCAAUCAAGGUAGACAGAUGGACAGAGCAGCAGAGUAGGCUGCUUGUGCCACAUUUUGAGAUUUUGCCGGGUAUAUCAAGUAUACCAUAUUUUGUAGUUUUUAUUGUAAUGUAUGUGCACUAUAUGUAUAUAUUGUACUUGGUCUUGAGCAGUUGUAAACUAAAGCGAUAAACUAUUUUGGCUUGUAAAAGUAUUGUGAUAUACUUAUCUUAUCUCAGCUUUUGGA
Hevea brasiliensis (rubber tree) is the source of this 502-nucleotide long non-coding RNA. RefSeq lists it as uncharacterized. NCBI's taxonomy places the organism in Eukaryota, Viridiplantae, Streptophyta, Magnoliopsida, Malpighiales, Euphorbiaceae. The transcript is spliced from 3 exons. The record is from RefSeq and is a predicted model, not a curated record.